AUAUCUAGAGUGAUCGCAAUUACC
Molecule: non-coding RNA, 24 nt
Filed under: Gossypium hirsutum (cotton)
Lineage: Eukaryota; Viridiplantae; Streptophyta; Magnoliopsida; Malvales; Malvaceae
Source: RNAcentral